RNAcentral lists this ribosomal RNA (1343 nucleotides) under uncultured bacterium. RNAcentral's name for it is "16S ribosomal RNA". It matches the Rfam family "Bacterial small subunit ribosomal RNA", at positions 28 to 1378 of the family's 1533-position model. The record is from RNAcentral.
GACGAACGCUGGCGGCGUGCUUAACACAUGCAAGUCGAACGGAAAGGCCCUGCUUUUGUGGGGUGCUCGAGUGGCGAACGGGUGAGUAACACGUGAGUAACCUGCCCUUGACUUUGGGAUAACUUCAGGAAACUGGGGCUAAUACCGGAUAGGAGCUCCUGCUGCAUGGUGGGGGUUGGAAAGUUUCGGCGGUUGGGGAUGGACUCGCGGCUUAUCAGCUUGUUGGUGGGGUAGUGGCUUACCAAGGCUUUGACGGGUAGCCGGCCUGAGAGGGUGACCGGCCACAUUGGGACUGAGAUACGGCCCAGACUCCUACGGGAGGCAGCAGUGGGGAAUAUUGCACAAUGGGCGGAAGCCUGAUGCAGCAACGCCGCGUGCGGGAUGACGGCCUUCGGGUUGUAAACCGCUUUCGCCUGUGACGAAGCGUGAGUGACGGUAAUGGGUAAAGAAGCACCGGCUAACUACGUGCCAGCAGCCGCGGUGAUACGUAGGGUGCGAGCGUUGUCCGGAUUUAUUGGGCGUAAAGGGCUCGUAGGUGGUUGAUCGCGUCGGAAGUGUAAUCUUGGGGCUUAACCCUGAGCGUGCUUUCGAUACGGGUUGACUUGAGGAAGGUAGGGGAGAAUGGAAUUCCUGGUGGAGCGGUGGAAUGCGCAGAUAUCAGGAGGAACACCAGUGGCGAAGGCGGUUCUCUGGGCCUUUCCUGACGCUGAGGAGCGAAAGGGUGGGGAGCGAACAGGCUUAGAUACCCUGGUAGUCCACGCUGUAAACGGUGGGUACUAGGUGUGGGGUUCAUUCCACGGGUUCCGUGCCGUAGCUAACGCUUUAAGUACCCCGCCUGGGGAGUACGGCCGCAAGGCUAAAACUCAAAGGAAUUGACGGGGCCCCGCACAAGCGGCGGAGCAUGCGGAUUAAUUCGAUGCAACGCGUAAAACCUUACCUGGGUUUGACAUGGAUCGGGAGUGCUCAGAGAUGGGUGUGCCUCUUUUGGGGUCGGUUCACAGGUGGUGCAUGGCUGUCGUCAGCUCGUGUCGUGAGAUGUUGGGUUAAGUCCCGCAACGAGCGCAACCCUUGUUCACUGUUGCCAGCACGUUAUGGUGGGGACUCAGUGGAGACCGCCGGGGUCAACUCGGAGGAAGGUGGGGAUGACAUCAAGUCAUCAUGCCCCUUAUGUCCAGGGCUUCACGCAUGCUACAAUGGCUGGUACAGAGAGUGGCGAGCCUGUGAGGGUGAGCGAAUCUCGGAAAGCCGGUCUCAGUUCGGAUUGGGGUCUGCAACUCGACCUCAUGAAGUCGGAGUCGCUAGUAAUCGCAGAUCAGCAACGCUGCGGUGAAUACGUUCCCGGG